Molecule: ribosomal RNA, 497 nt
Filed under: uncultured bacterium
Lineage: Bacteria
Description: partial 16S ribosomal RNA
Rfam family: Bacterial small subunit ribosomal RNA
Source: RNAcentral
GAUGAACGCUGGCGGCGUGCCUAAUACAUGCAAGUCGAGCGAACGGACGAGAAGCUUGCUUCUCUGAUGUUAGCGGCGGACGGGUGAGUAACACGUGGAUAACCUACCUAUAAGACUGGGAUAACUUCGGGAAACCGGAGCUAAUACCGGAUAAUAUUUUGAACCGCAUGGUUCAAAAGUGAAAGACGGUCUUGCUGUCACUUAUAGAUGGAUCCGCGCUGCAUUAGCUAGUUGGUAAGGUAACGGCUUACCAAGGCAACGAUGCAUAGCCGACCUGAGAGCGUGGUCGGCCACACUGGAACUGAGACACGGUCCAGACUCCUACGGGAGGCAGCAGUAGGGAAUCUUCCGCAAUGGGCGAAAGCCUGACGGAGCAACGCCGCGUGAGUGAUGAAGGUCUUCGGAUCGUAAAACUCUGUUAUUAGGGAAGAACAUAUGUGUAAGUAACUGUGCACAUCUUGACGGUACCUAAUCAGAAAGCCACGGCUAACUACGUG